Molecule: long non-coding RNA, 348 nt
Organism: Osmia bicornis bicornis
Lineage: Eukaryota; Metazoa; Arthropoda; Insecta; Hymenoptera; Megachilidae
Exons: 2
Source: RefSeq, a predicted model, not a curated record
CGACAACAUUAAAAAGUUUUUAUAUUUGGGCGGGAGGUGGCGGGAGAUGAAUUUCUGUAGCCACUAUGUAGGUCGCACAUUUUAGCUUUGGGGUCCUCGAUGCCCCAAGAUGAUAUAUCGCUAUACAGGGAGCGCCACCGAUACAACGGGGUCUCUGACACCCCGGAUGCCAUAAUGUCGGUAUGCAGAGAGAGUCGCCACUGCUUCGGGGUCUCUAACACCCCUGGAUAAUAUCAGGUCCGUAUGAAGAGGGCACAACCAGUAUAAUUUUCUUCCAGAGUAUAUUUAAUUUACUUCAUUUUUUUGUUUUGCUUAUUAAAUAAGCUCAUCGAAUGGGAAUAACAUUUA